This 253-nucleotide ribosomal RNA is filed under the name uncultured Eubacteriales bacterium. Its description in RNAcentral is "uncultured Clostridiales bacterium partial 16S ribosomal RNA". It matches the Rfam family "Bacterial small subunit ribosomal RNA", at positions 524 to 776 of the family's 1533-position model. The record is from RNAcentral. Lineage: Bacteria; Bacillati; Bacillota; Clostridia; Eubacteriales.
UACGGAGGAUGCGAGCGUUAUCCGGAUUUAUUGGGUUUAAAGGGUGCGUAGGUGGUUUGGCAAGUUGGUAGCGUAAUCCCGGGGCUCAACCUCGGUGCUACUACCAAAACUGUUGAACUUGAGUGCAGGAGGGGUGAAUGGAAUUCCCAGUGUAGCGGUGGAAUGCGUAGAUAUUGGGAAGAACACCAGCGGCGAAGGCGAUUCACUGGACUGUAACUGACACUGAGGCACGAAAGCGUGGGGAGCAAACAGG